This 519-nucleotide ribosomal RNA is filed under the name uncultured bacterium. RNAcentral describes it as "partial 16S ribosomal RNA". It matches the Rfam family "Bacterial small subunit ribosomal RNA", at positions 28 to 507 of the family's 1533-position model. The record is from RNAcentral.
GACGAAUGCUGGCGGCGUGCCUAAUACAUGCAAGUCGAGCGAGUCUGCCUUGAAGAUCGGAGUGCUUGCACUCUGUGAAACAAGAUACAGGCUAGCGGCGGACGGGUGAGUAACACGUGGGUAACCUGCCCAAGAGAUCGGGAUAACACCUGGAAACAGAUGCUAAUACCGGAUAACAACAGAUGAUGCCUAUCAACUGUUUAAAAGAUGGUUCUGCUAUCACUCUUGGAUGGACCUGCGGUGCAUUAGCUAGUUGGUAGGGUAACGGCCUACCAAGGCGAUGAUGCAUAGCCGAGUUGAGAGACUGAUCGGCCACAUUGGGACUGAGACACGGCCCAAACUCCUACGGGAGGCAGCAGUAGGGAAUCUUCCACAAUGGACGCAAGUCUGAUGGAGCAACGCCGCGUGAGUGAAGAAGGGUUUCGGCUCGUAAAGCUCUGUUGUUGGUGAAGAAGGACAGGGGUAGUAACUGACCUUUGUUUGACGGUAAUCAAUUAGAAAGUCACGGCUAACUACGUG